GGAUGUUGAGAUGUGACUUCUGAGGCUAUAACAUAAAGAGGACAUAGUUCCUAUUGGGCAUGGUGCUGUAGAUCCAGCUACUAAGGAACAUCACUUGGGUCCAGGAGUUUAAGGCUAGCCUGGGCAACAUAGCAAGACCUUUAUUUGGAGGAAAAAAAAAUCCAGAUAUAGCUUCCUCCUGGCUCUCUGUCUUUCUCUUAGAAUGCUUGUCCUUGGAACUCAGUCACAUGAACAGGCCACAUGCAGGUAUUCUCAUUAAAAACCUGGGCUAAGCCUUGGCCAACAGCCAGUGUUAACCACUGAAUGAGUGAGCAAGUGAGACAGAAUUCAGAUGGUUGUAGCCUGGGGCUCUUGAGUGUCCAGCUGAGCCCCAGAAAUUGGGGAACAGAGCUGUCUGGUGGCAUAUACCUGUAAUCCAGGGACUCCAGAGGCUGAGGCAGGAUUACAAGUUCGAAGCCAGCCUCAGCCACUUAGACCCUGUCUCAGAAUAAAAAAUAAAAGGCUUGGGGAUGUAGCUCACUGGUAAAGUGCCCCUGGGUUCAAUCCCUAGUCCCCAACACCGCAAAAAAAAAAA
RNAcentral lists this long non-coding RNA (574 nucleotides) under Marmota monax (woodchuck). Lineage: Eukaryota; Metazoa; Chordata; Mammalia; Rodentia; Sciuridae. The record is from RNAcentral.